This 256-nucleotide ribosomal RNA is filed under the name uncultured bacterium. Its description in RNAcentral is "partial 16S ribosomal RNA". It matches the Rfam family "Bacterial small subunit ribosomal RNA", at positions 334 to 607 of the family's 1533-position model. The record is from RNAcentral.
UACUCCUACGGGGGGCAGCAGUGGGGAAUAUUGCACAAUGGGGGAAACCCUGAUGCAGCGACGCCGCGUGGGUGAAGAAGCGCCUCGGCGCGUAAAGCCCUGUCAGCAGGGAAGAAAAUGACGGUACCUGAAGAAGAAGCCCCGGCUAACUACGUGCCAGCAGCCGCGGUAAUACGUAGGGGGCAAGCGUUAUCCGGAUUUACUGGGUGUAAAGGGCGUGUAGGCGGGGACGCAAGUCAGAUGUGAAAACCACGGG